ACUUAUUUAAUAUAAAAAUUAUUAUUGAUUUCCAAUCAAAAAAUCUGUUAUCAACAGAAUAAGUA
RNAcentral lists this transfer RNA (65 nucleotides) under Anisandrus dispar. RNAcentral's name for it is "tRNA-Gly". Lineage: Eukaryota; Metazoa; Arthropoda; Insecta; Coleoptera; Curculionidae. The record is from RNAcentral.